Molecule: ribosomal RNA, 441 nt
Filed under: uncultured bacterium
Lineage: Bacteria
Description: partial 16S ribosomal RNA
Rfam family: Bacterial small subunit ribosomal RNA
Source: RNAcentral
CCUACGUGAGGCAGCAGUGGGGGAUAUUGCACAAUGGGGGGAACCCUGAUGCAGCGACGCCGCGUGGGUGAAGGAGUGCUUCGGCAUUUAAAGCCCUAUCGUCAGGGAAGAAGCAAGACGGUACCUGACUAUGAAGCCCCGGCUAAAUACGUGCCAGCAGCCGCAGUAAUACGGCGGGGGCGACCGUUAUCCGGAAUCGCUGGGUGUAACGGGUGCGUAGACGGCCAUGCAAGCCAGGGGUGAAAGCCCGGGGCCCAACCCCGGGACUGCCCUUGAAACUGCAUGGCUGGAGUGCGGGAGGGGCAGGCGGAAUGCGUGGGGUAGCGGUGAAAGGCGUAGAUAUCAGGAGGAACACCGGCGGCGAAGGCGGCCUGCUGGACCGCGACUGACGUUGAGGCUCGAAAGCGUGGGGAGCGAACAGGAUUAGAUACCCGAGUAGUC